Long non-coding RNA from Balaenoptera musculus (blue whale), 1734 nucleotides. RefSeq lists it as uncharacterized. The record is from RefSeq and is a predicted model, not a curated record. NCBI's taxonomy places the organism in Eukaryota, Metazoa, Chordata, Mammalia, Artiodactyla, Balaenopteridae. The transcript is spliced from 2 exons.
UGUUUUUUUAGACAUAAUGCUAUUGCACACUUAAUAGACUACAGUAUAGUAUAAACAUAGCUUUAAUUUGCUCUGGGGAACCAAAAAAUUUGUGUGACUCACUCAUUGAAUUGUUCAUUUUAUUGCAGUGGUCUGGAACCAAAGCUGCAAUAUCUCCAAGGAGGUCUGUAUUUCGGAAUUGUCGUUUAGUGAAUGUGUGACCAUGAAUAUAUUCAUGCAUGUGCAUUGUGUUUUUCCCUUUGCUUCCCAAAGAUAAAAUCACAGACUUGAGACACACAGGAGGGGAUGAAUAUUUUACUCCCUCUUGAUAUGUAUUUAAAAGUUUGCCUUCCAGAAGGAAUCAGCCAAUGUACCUCUCCACCAGCUGUACUUACAUGUGUGCCGGCCUGUAGAAGACACCACAGAUUACCCACUGCAUGUCCCUCAGGAAAUGAGACCUGAUUUGAUUCUGGAGUGUGGGGGGCAAUUUGCCCAUCCCACCCUGUAUCUAUGGGUAGCUAAUGAGAUGUAAGCAGAAUUACUGAGUGAGUCAUCUGGAAAGCUCCUUAAGAGGGGAUAACUGGAAAUGAGCCCUUUUUGCCCCCAUGCCUGCUUUCUGUUGUGAUGGUUGGAUCUCCAGCAGCCAUCUUGGGCCAUGAGGCUAUUUUGAGGAUGGAAGCUCCACACUAUGCAAGGCAGAAAAGAAAGAUCCCCCCCACUCCCUCCUGCUGAGCUGACAUUGCCCUGUUGCAUAUCCCAGCUGCUCUGUGGGUUUUGUGAAACUGUGUGUGAAGUCUCUAUCUCAUUGUAUUAUAUGCAGGCAAGACUGAACUCUCCUACAGAUGUCUGGAGUAAGCUAUGGUGUAGUGUUUUUUUUGGCACAUAAUAAGCAUGUUACAGCAGAAAAAAUAAUAAUAAUAAUAAUACUGUGGAGGAGCCAUGCCAGCCUUAGAUUUCCUGUCUCCAGGCUUGUUUCAAUGUGAGAGUAAAAUAAAUCCAGUAUUAGUUAAGUCUUUGAAUUUUAGACCUCUAUUACUAGUAACUGAGCUACUUCUUAACCUCUCCAGAACAUUACUAGCAUUGGCUUUAGCACAUUACAUUUUUUUUAAUUAUGUAUAGGUGUCAAAUAAGACUUAAUUGUUGCUUAAUUGUACAUUUUUGGAGGAACAUUACAGGCAGAAGGAGUACCACAAGCAAAGCUGUGCAAAUUGGGAAUGACAGCCAUUUUCAAAAACACAACAGUCACUUCCUGGGGCAUAACACCGUCUGAUACCAUCUUACUGAGAGGGUGUCAGCCUUAGCUGAAAGCAAGGAAAGAACCAGGGGUUAGCCAACCAAACAGGAUUCAAGAGAAACUUGAAAGAAGAGGCUGUGGGGACCAACAUUUUCAGACCGAGAAGCACAGCCCAGGCAUUACAGCAGGCGAGCAGCGGCCAGAGGGUAAAAGGCAAGUUAAAGUAAAACCAUCUUGCUCCCUCACCUCGUUGCCCUACAGUUGUUCUUAGCAAACAAGGUCCUCUGGGAACUCCUGCUUUUUGAUGACAUAGGCUUUACCAGGAUGAAGGUAGCCUUGCUAUCUGUUGGACCAAAUCUGCUCAUCAACUGUGAGAAAUGACCGAUGACAGGACAUCACCUGGUCAUCGGGAACCCAGCCAGCAUGAAAACUGUGUCGGCUGACCCUGGAACCUAUACAGGAUCCCUCUUUAGGACUCUUUUCUUCACGGAUUUAUGCAAGUAAAAUAACUAAAAAUGGUG